AGAUGGCUGCAUUGGCGUAACCAGUCAAUGAUCGAUCGGCUGGAAAUCUCUGCAACGAUACCAGGCAAAAUUAACUCUUGAGAUACUCUUCGUGUGUCUCACGGGCCCUUCAGUCACUUGAAAUUAUCGACGAGCGCGUACUUAGAAAUAAUACCGUUGAAAAGUGGAGCUUAAGUGCCAAAGUACGACAAUGUCAUAUCAACAGCCGAUAAAGCAGAGACUCGAGAGUAGUAUUACAUGGAGACGUCCUCGUGGCCAGUGGUUUUGUUAUAUCGUGCCGGUGUUUAGAAUUUCGUGCAAGCGAGCCCGGGAACUCCUUGCCUGCAUCGAUGACGAAACCAAGGCAUACGAGGAGAGAACUCUGGACUGAAGUCUGACUUGGUGGGAGCGGCUGAAGGCCGGCGUUUUGUAACAACGAACAUACCGGACUCCGGAACGCCUACGACGAAAUUUUGGCGUUACUCAU
Long non-coding RNA from Apis dorsata (giant honeybee), 466 nucleotides. RefSeq lists it as uncharacterized. The transcript is spliced from 2 exons. The record is from RefSeq and is a predicted model, not a curated record. Lineage: Eukaryota; Metazoa; Arthropoda; Insecta; Hymenoptera; Apidae.